RNAcentral lists this ribosomal RNA (424 nucleotides) under uncultured bacterium. RNAcentral describes it as "bacterial SSU rRNA". It matches the Rfam family "Bacterial small subunit ribosomal RNA", at positions 355 to 796 of the family's 1533-position model. The record is from RNAcentral.
UGGGGAAUUUUGCGCAAUGGGGGAAACCCUGACGCAGCAACGCCGCGUGGAGGAUGAAGCCCCUUGGGGCGUAAACUCCUUUCGAUCGGGAAGAUAAUGACGGUACCGGAAGAAGAAGCCCCGGCUAACUUCGUGCCAGCAGCCGCGGUAAUACGAGGGGGGCGAGCGUUGUUCGGAAUUAUUGGGCGUAAAGGGCGCGUAGGCGGUUGGACAAGUCUCAUGUGAAAUCUUCAGGCUCAACUUGAAGUCUGCAUGGGAAACUGUCCGGCUGGAGUGUGGGAGAGGUGCGUGGAAUUUCCGGUGUAGCGGUGAAAUGCGUAGAUAUCGGAAGGAACACCUGUGGCGAAAGCGGCGCACUGGACCAUAACUGACGCUGAGGCGCGAAAGCUAGGGGAGCAAACAGGAUUAGAUACCCCCGUAGUCC